UAACUUUAUAGUGUAGGAAGCAGAACGCGGGGAAUCCGGUGCGACGCCGGAGCUGUUCCGCAACUGUAUGGGGAGCCCUGCCGCCGCAAUUCUCUCACAAAGAGACGGCAGGGCGAUGAACCGAGCCAGAGUGCCGCUUGCCUUCUUCAUUAUUG
Molecule: non-coding RNA, 155 nt
Filed under: Centipeda noxia
Lineage: Bacteria; Bacillati; Bacillota; Negativicutes; Selenomonadales; Selenomonadaceae
Source: RNAcentral